AGAGUUUGAUCAUGGCUCAGGACGAACGCUGGCGGCGUGCUUAACACAUGCAAGUCGAACGGGAUCCUCUGGUGCUUGCACCGGGGGUGAGAGUGGCGAACGGGUGAGUAAUGCGUGACGAACCUGCCCCAUACUCCGGAAUAGCUCCUGGAAACGGGUGGUAAUGCCGGAUGCUCCGCCUGGCCGCAUGGCCGGGUGGGAAGGCGUUAGUGGUAUGGGAUGGCGUCGCGUCCUAUCAGCUUGUUGGCGGGGCAACGGCCCACCAAGGCUUUGACGGGUAGCCGGCCUGAGAGGGCGACCGGCCACAUUGGGACUGAGAUACGGCCCAGACUCCUACGGGAGGCAGCAGUGGGGAAUAUUGCGCAAUGGGGGAAACCCUGACGCAGCGACGCCGCGUGCGGGAUGACGGCCUUCGGGUUGUAAACCGCUUUUGAUUGGGAGCAAGCGCAAGUGAGUGUACCUUUCGAAUAAGGACCGGCUAACUACGUGCCAGCAGCCGCGGUAAUACGUAGGGUCCAAGCGUUGUCCGGAAUUAUUGGGCGUAAAGAGCUCGUAGGCGGUUCGUCGCGUCUGGUGUGAAAGUCCAUCGCUUAACGGUGGAUCUGCGCUGGAUACGGGCGGACUGGAGUGCGGUAGGGGAGACUGGAAUUCCCGGUGUAACGGUGGAAUGUGUAGAUAUCGGGAAGAACACCAAUGGCGAAGGCAGGUCUCUGGGCCGUCACUGACGCUGAGGAGCGAAAGCGUGGGGAGCGAACAGGAUUAGAUACCCUGGUAGUCCACGCCGUAAACGGUGGAUGCUGGAUGUGGGGCCCUUUCCACGGGUUCCGUGUCGGAGCUAACGCGUUAAGCAUCCCGCCUGGGG
RNAcentral lists this ribosomal RNA (862 nucleotides) under uncultured bacterium. Its description in RNAcentral is "bacterial SSU rRNA". It matches the Rfam family "Bacterial small subunit ribosomal RNA", at positions 8 to 878 of the family's 1533-position model. The record is from RNAcentral.